The submitters of this non-coding RNA (577 nucleotides) gave its source as unclassified sequences. The record is from Rfam.
GUAUAAUUGUGCAAUAAUCGGCAACUCAGUGAAGAAGGUUUAGUCAGCCUUGCUGAGAACGGUUUGAAUGCAGAGUUUUGAUUAUAUGGGAUACUGUAUAAUUAAGGCUUCUUAUUGAGAGUGAUUGAUAUAAGAUAGAAGCAGAUGCUUCAAGUGCAAGAAUCGGUUGCCGGUCUAUAUGAGUAAAAUGUCAGUUCAAAGAGUCGGAGCGACAAUUGAUGAGGUUCACAGCAAUGGGGACCAAUGCGGCUUUUAAGUGCUAUAUGGGGACAUAUAGAUUACUGAAAGUAAUUCCAAAACAAGCUCUUGCCAAUGAUGCUAAGAAAUUAGCGUAUAAGACAAAACAGAACUGGACGAGUACCACAAGGCGAUUUUACAAAUCAAGAAUAAUUGGUAAUUCUAAUGCUGAAUGACGUGGGAAAGUUGGGAGUAUCAAUCUCCUCAGAGCAUUGGGCGAAAGCCGGGGUGCACAGGUUAGGACGACGGUCCGAAGCUUCAGGUGUGUCUCCUUUGUGACAGAAUAUUACGUAGUAUAGAGUUGGGUAGGGCGAAGGUCCGCCGAUUAUUGUUUUUUUUC